CAAGGAAUAGUUUAAUUAAAAUAUAAAUUUUGGAGAUUUAAGAUAGAAAGAGUUUUUUCCUUGA
RNAcentral lists this transfer RNA (64 nucleotides) under Olenecamptus subobliteratus. RNAcentral describes it as "tRNA-Pro". Lineage: Eukaryota; Metazoa; Arthropoda; Insecta; Coleoptera; Cerambycidae. The record is from RNAcentral.